This 253-nucleotide ribosomal RNA is filed under the name uncultured bacterium. Its description in RNAcentral is "partial 16S ribosomal RNA". It matches the Rfam family "Bacterial small subunit ribosomal RNA", at positions 524 to 776 of the family's 1533-position model. The record is from RNAcentral.
UACAGGGGGGGCAAGCGUUGUUCGGAAUUACUGGGCGUAAAGGGCGCGUAGGCGGCCUUCUAAGUCGAACGUGAAAUCCCUGGGCUCAACCCAGGAACUGCGUCCGAUACUGGAAGGCUUGAAUCCGGGAGAGGGAUGCGGAAUUCCAGGUGUAGCGGUGAAAUGCGUAGAUAUCUGGAGGAACACCGGUGGCGAAGGCGGCAUCCUGGACCGGUAUUGACGCUGAGGCGCGAAAGCUAGGGGAGCAAACGGG